GUGGGGAAUAUUGGGCAAUGGGCGAAAGCCUGACCCAGCAACGCCGCGUGAAGGAAGAAGGUUUUCGGAUUGUAAACUUCUGUCCUCAGGGAAGAAGGAAGUGACGGUACCUGAGGAGGAAGCCCCGGCUAACUACGUGCCAGCAGCCGCGGUAAUACGUAGGGGGCGAGCGUUGUCCGGAAUGACUGGGCGUAAAGGGCGCGUAGACGGCUGUCUAAGUCUGGAGUGAAAGUCCUGCUUUCAAGGUGGGAAUUGCUUUGGAGGCUGGAUGGCUUGAGUGCGGAAGAGGUAAGUGGAAUUCCCAGUGUAGCGGUGAAAUGCGUAGAGAUUGGGAAGAACACCAGUGGCGAAGGCGACUUACUGGGCCGUAACUGACGUUGAUGCGCGAAAGCGUGGGGAGCGAACAGGAUUAGAUACCCCUGUAGUCC
This 428-nucleotide ribosomal RNA is filed under the name uncultured bacterium. Its description in RNAcentral is "partial 16S ribosomal RNA". It matches the Rfam family "Bacterial small subunit ribosomal RNA", at positions 354 to 796 of the family's 1533-position model. The record is from RNAcentral.